AUCACCUGGGCAUUUUGUUAAAAUGCAGAUUCCGAUGCAGCAUAUCUGGGAGCCUGAGAGUCUGUAUUUUUAACAAAUUCCCAGGUGAUGCCAA
This 94-nucleotide microRNA precursor is filed under the name Ailuropoda melanoleuca (giant panda). Its description in RNAcentral is "mir-544 microRNA precursor family". It matches the Rfam family "mir-544 microRNA precursor family". Lineage: Eukaryota; Metazoa; Chordata; Mammalia; Carnivora; Ursidae. The record is from Rfam by way of RNAcentral.